This 1248-nucleotide long non-coding RNA is filed under the name Phasianus colchicus (ring-necked pheasant). RNAcentral's name for it is "lncRNA (ENSPCLG00000017074.1)". Lineage: Eukaryota; Metazoa; Chordata; Aves; Galliformes; Phasianidae. The record is from RNAcentral.
GCGUCGCCUCUCUUCCAUUGCGUCGCAUCUCUUCCCUUGCGUCGCCUCUCUUCCCUUGCGUUGCAACACUUCCCGUUACAGUUUUCCCUUUCGUCGCCACUCUUUCCUUGCGAGGCAUCUCUUCCCAUCUCAGCUUUCCAUUUCGUCGCCUCUCUUCCUGUUUCAGCUUUCCCUUGCGUCGCCUCUCUUCCCGUUUCUGCUUUCCACUGCGUCGCCUCUCUUCCUUAGUGUCGCCUCUCUUCCCUUGCGUCGCCUCUCUUCCCGUUUCAGCUUUCCCUUGCGUCGCCUCUCUUCCCAUUUCCGCAUUCCCUUGCGUCGCCUCUCUUCCCGUUUCAGCUUUCCCUUGCGUCGCCUCUCUUCCGGUUUCCGCAUUCCCUUGCGUCGCCUCUCUUCCCAUUUCAGCUUUCCCUUGCGUCGCCUCUCUUCCCGUUUCAACUUUCCCUUGCGUCGCCUCUCUUCUUGUUUCAGCUUUCCCUUACGUCGCUUCUCUUCCCGUUUCAGCUUUCCCUUGCGUCUCCGCUCUUCCCUUGCGUCGCCUCUCUUCCCUUGCAUUGCCUCUCUUCCCUUGAGUCACCUCUCUUCCCAUUUCAGCUUUACGUUGCGUCGCCUCUCUUCCCUUGCGUCUCCUCUCUUCCCGUUUCCGCAUUCCAAUGCGUCGCCUCUCUUCCUUUGCGUUGUCUCUCUUCCCGUUUCCGCUUUCCCUUGCGUCGCCUCUCUUCCCUUGCGUCGCGUCUCCUCCCUUGCGUCGCCUCUCUUCCCGUUUCAGCUUUCCCUUGCGUCGCCGCUCUUCCCUUGCGCCGCCGCUCUUCCCUUGCGUUGCCUCUCUUUCCUUGCGUCUCCUCUCAUCCCGUUUCCGCUUUCGCAUGCGUCGCCUCUCUUCCUUUGCGUCGCCUCUCUUCCCGUUUCAGCUUUCCCUUGCCUCACCUCUCUUCCCUUGCGUCUCCUCUCUUCCCGUUUCAGCUUUCCCUUGCGUCGCCUCUCUCCCCUUGCGUCACCUCACUUUCCCUGUGUCGCCUGUCUUCCCGUUUCACCUUUCUCAUGCAUCGCCACUCUUCCCUUGCGACGCCUCUCUUCCCAUUUCGGCUUUCCGUUGCGUCGCCUCCUUUUCCUUGCGUUGCCUUCCUUCCCUUGCUGUCCUUUCCCUGUCUGGUUUUCCUUGCGUCGCCUCUCUUGCCUUGCGUCGCAUCUCUUCCCUUGUGUCGCCUCUUUUCCCGUUUCAGCUUUCCCUUGCGUUGCCUCUAUUCCCUU